GAUGAACGCUGGCGGCGUGCUUAACACAUGCAAGUCGAACGGGAAACCUUUUAUUGAAGCUUCGGCAGAUUUAGCUGGUUUCUAGUGGCGGACGGGUGAGUAACGCGUGGGUAACCUGCCUUAUACAGGGGGAUAACAACCAGAAAUGGUUGCUAAUACCGCAUAAGCGCACAGGACCGCAUGGUCCGGUGUGAAAAACUCCGGUGGUAUAAGAUGGACCCGCGUUGGAUUAGCUAGUUGGCAGGGUAACGGCCUACCAAGGCGACGAUCCAUAGCCGGCCUGAGAGGGUGAACGGCCACAUUGGGACUGAGACACGGCCCAGACUCCUACGGGAGGCAGCAGUGGGGAAUAUUACACAAUGGGGGAAACCCUGAUGCAGCGACGCCGCGUGAAGGAAGAAGUAUCUCGGUAUGUAAACUUCUAUCAGCAAGGAAGAUAGUGACGGUACCUGACUAAGAAGCCCCGGCUAACUACGUG
Molecule: ribosomal RNA, 478 nt
Filed under: uncultured bacterium
Lineage: Bacteria
Description: partial 16S ribosomal RNA
Rfam family: Bacterial small subunit ribosomal RNA
Source: RNAcentral